GAUGAACGCUGGCGGCGUGCCUAAUACAUGCAAGUCGAGCGAACGGACGAGAAGCUUGCUUCUCUGACGUUAGCGGCGGACGGGUGAGUAACACGUGGAUAACCUACCUAUAAGACUGGGAUAACUUCGGGAAACCGGAGCUAAUACCGGAUAAUAUUUUGAACCGCAUGGUUCAAAAGUGAAAGACGGUCUUGCUGUCACUUAUAGAUGGAUCCGCGCUGCAUUAGCUAGUUGGUAAGGUAACGGCUUACCAAGGCAACGAUGCAUAGCCGACCUGAGAGGGUGAUCGGCCACACUGGAACUGAGACACGGUCCAGACUCCUACGGGAGGCAGCAGUAGGGAAUCUUCCGCAAUGGGCGAAAGCCUGACGGAGCAACGCCGCGUGAGUGAUGAAGGUCUUCGGAUCGUAAAACUCUGUUAUUAGGGAAGAACAAAUGUGUAAGUAACUGUGCACGUCUUGACGGUACCUAAUCAGAAAGCCACGGCUAACUACGUG
RNAcentral lists this ribosomal RNA (497 nucleotides) under uncultured bacterium. Its description in RNAcentral is "partial 16S ribosomal RNA". It matches the Rfam family "Bacterial small subunit ribosomal RNA", at positions 28 to 507 of the family's 1533-position model. The record is from RNAcentral.